Molecule: ribosomal RNA, 478 nt
Filed under: uncultured bacterium
Lineage: Bacteria
Description: partial 16S ribosomal RNA
Rfam family: Bacterial small subunit ribosomal RNA
Source: RNAcentral
GAUGAACGCUGGCGGCGUGCUUAACACAUGCAAGUCGAACGAGAAGUGAAGACGGAACCCUUCGGGCGGAAGGCUUUAUUUCGAGUGGCGGACGGGUGAGUAACGCGUGGGUAACCUGCCUCAUACAGGGGGAUAACAGUUGGAAACGACUGUUAAUACCGCAUAAGACCACAGCACCGCAUGGUGCGGGGGUAAAAACUCCGGUGGUAUGAGAUGGACCCGCGUUCGAUUAGCCAGUUGGCGGGGUAACGGCCCACCAAAGCGACGAUCGAUAGCCGAUCUGAGAGGAUGACCGGCCACAUUGGGACUGAGACACGGCUCAAACUCCUACGGGAAGCAGCAGUGGGGAAUAUUGCACAAUGGGGGAAACCCUGAUGCAGCGACGCCGCGUGAGUGAAGAAGUAUUUCGGUAUGUAAAGCUCUAUCAGCAGGGAAGAAAAUGACGGUACCUGAGUAAGAAGCCCCGGCUAACUACGUG